GCCCCAUUGGCCUAGUGAAUAAGGCGUCUGACUUCUAAAUGGGGAGCACAUCAGAAGAUCGCCGGUUUGAAUCCGGCAUGGGGCU
Non-coding RNA from Ditylenchus destructor, 85 nucleotides. NCBI's taxonomy places the organism in Eukaryota, Metazoa, Nematoda, Chromadorea, Rhabditida, Anguinidae. The record is from the annotation of a GenBank genome assembly.